GAUUAGAUACCCGGGUAGUCCCAGCCGUAAACGAUGCGUGUUAGGUGUAUCGGUGACCACGAGUUACCGAGGUGCCGAAGGGAAACCGUGUAACGCGCCGCCUGGGAAGUACGGUCGCAAGGCUGAAACUUAAAGGAAUUGGCGGGGGAGCACCACAACGGGUGGAGCUUGCGGUUUAAUUGGAUUCAACGCCGGAAAUCUUACCGGGACCGACAGCAAUAUGAAGGCCAGGCUGAAGACUUUGCCGGAUUAGCUGAGAGGUGGUGCAUGGCCGUCGUCAGUUCGUACUGUGAAGCAUCCUGUUAAGUCAGGUAACGAGCGAGACCCA
This 328-nucleotide ribosomal RNA is filed under the name unidentified archaeon. Its description in RNAcentral is "bacterial SSU rRNA". It matches the Rfam family "Archaeal small subunit ribosomal RNA", at positions 727 to 1054 of the family's 1478-position model. The record is from RNAcentral.